Teleopsis dalmanni is the source of this 192-nucleotide long non-coding RNA. RefSeq lists it as uncharacterized. The transcript has 2 exons. Lineage: Eukaryota; Metazoa; Arthropoda; Insecta; Diptera; Diopsidae. The record is from RefSeq and is a predicted model, not a curated record.
UCAUCAAGGAGGCCCUGGUGGUCCAAAUAAUGGUGGCCCCGGAGGCUCAAAUAAUAACAACACUAAUAGCACUGGCCCCCAAGGUCAAAUGAAUAAACCUUAUUACUCAAAUAACGGUGGUGGAGGUGCAAGUCGAGCUGUUAACGAUAUAUGCAAUUAACGAAUGAAUACACUACAAAAAAUAAAAACAAG